This 217-nucleotide ribosomal RNA is filed under the name uncultured bacterium. RNAcentral describes it as "partial 16S ribosomal RNA". It matches the Rfam family "Bacterial small subunit ribosomal RNA", at positions 28 to 245 of the family's 1533-position model. The record is from RNAcentral.
GACGAACGCUGGCGGCGUGCUUAACACAUGCAAGUCGAGCGGUAAGGCCCCUUCGGGGUACGACGAGCGGCGAACGGGUGAGUAACACGUGGGUGACCUGCCCUCAGCUCUGGGAGUAAGCCUGGGAAACUGGGUCUAAUACCGGAUAUGACUCCAUGACGCAUGUCGUGGGGUGGAAAGCCUUGUGCGGCUGGGGAUGGGCCCGCGGCCUAUCAGC